RNAcentral lists this long non-coding RNA (249 nucleotides) under Nicotiana benthamiana. RNAcentral describes it as "long non-coding RNA (NBEN_LNC001245)". The record is from RNAcentral. Lineage: Eukaryota; Viridiplantae; Streptophyta; Magnoliopsida; Solanales; Solanaceae.
GGCCAAAUCAUGAAGAUUGUUUCCUGGUUCAUGAUGGCUUGACUAUCUAUUUGUGCAUGCAUUACAGGAAAGCCUUACAGUCAUCUUGCUGCUGAAACUUCAAAAAAGAACAUCAAGAGUUUUGCAGGGAUAACACCAGUGGCUCUUGCAAGAAAUGGAUCCUGGUCGAUAUGGGCUCCAUCAUGGAUGGGAAAAUAACAGCGUAAUUGUGGUUUCCUUCUUAAUCACAUAAUGGAUGAUAGACAAGAA